CCUACGGGAGGCAGCAGUGGGGAAUAUUGCACAAUGGGGGAAACCCUGAUGCAGCAAAGCCGCGUGAGUGAGGAAGUAUUUCGGUAUGUAAAGCUCUAUCAGCAGGGAAUAGAAAAGAAGGUACCUGAAAAAGAAGCCCCGGCUCAAUACGUGCCAGCAGCCGCGGUAAUACGUAGGGGGCAAGCGUUAUCCGGAUUUACUGGGUGUAAAGGGAGCGUAGGCGGAAAGGCAAGUCAGGAGGGAAAACCCAAGGCUCAACCAUGGGACUGCUGUUGAAACUGUCAAACUAGAGUACGGGAGAGGUAUGAGGAAUGCCUAGUGUAGCGGUGAAAUGCGUAGAUAUUAGGAGGAACACCAGUGGCGAAGGCGGCUUACUGGACCUAAACUGACGUUGAGGCUCGAAAGCGUGGGGAUCAAACAGGAUUAGAUACCCGAGUAGUC
Molecule: ribosomal RNA, 441 nt
Filed under: uncultured bacterium
Lineage: Bacteria
Description: partial 16S ribosomal RNA
Rfam family: Bacterial small subunit ribosomal RNA
Source: RNAcentral